Molecule: ribosomal RNA, 250 nt
Filed under: uncultured bacterium
Lineage: Bacteria
Description: partial 16S ribosomal RNA
Rfam family: Bacterial small subunit ribosomal RNA
Source: RNAcentral
UGGGAAUCUUGCGCAAUGGACGAAAGUCUGACGCAGCGACGCCGCGUGGGCGAUGAAGGCCUUCGGGUCGUAAAGCCCUGUCAGCAGGGAGUAAGAUUGGUGACCUAACACGUCAUCAGUUUGAAAGUACCUGCAGAGGAAGCACCGGCUAACUCUGUGCCAGCAGCCGCGGUAAUACAGAGGGUGCAAGCGUUGUUCGAAAUCAUUGGGCGUAAAGCGCGUGUAGGCGGCGCGGCAAGUCUGAUGUGAA